Long non-coding RNA from Octopus sinensis (East Asian common octopus), 759 nucleotides. RefSeq lists it as uncharacterized. The record is from RefSeq and is a predicted model, not a curated record. The transcript has 3 exons. Lineage: Eukaryota; Metazoa; Mollusca; Cephalopoda; Octopoda; Octopodidae.
UUGUUAACCGAAACUGCUACAACCGCAAAAGUGUAAAACCGUUUUUAGCAUACACGAAAAAGAAAGAAAGAAAAAAAACAGGUUUAAAAGGAUAGAACAGUUACAAAAGGUCAAUCUUGUUAUUUUCAAAUAAACACCAGAGCGUCGAGGAGGGAAAAUGCCUUGCGAUUGUCCAGUUAUAGAAAACAAAGAAUGCAACAUGAAGGGGGGGGAGAAUGAUAAAAAGAGAGAGGGGGGAAGACGGGGUGAGAAAGAAACUGUGAACAGAGAAAGCUUUCCAAAGUUGAGAAGAAAGUUUUAUGUUCUCGUGUUGGGAGAGAACAUGAAUUUAGACAAGAAAAGCGAUCGAGUUUAAUGUUGGUGAGUGUAUCCUAGCAACCUUAUUGCCAGCUAUGGCAUAGAGAACCAAAAAGAAAGGAAAAAAAUGAAUAAAUUGCGGGACAGAGUCUAAAUGGGGAAAAGAAAGCAUCCGUAAUGCGAUCAAAUUUAGGAUGUUAGAGGCCUUUCCUGGCAAGAAGGAACAAAAUGCAAUGGAUUUAAUAACAGAAAAGAGAUGAAGGGAGUCGAGAAACAAGAGUUAAGAUGGAUUCAAGCAAUUGAAUGAAAGAGAAAAUACUUGCCAUCAGUUCGUUGAAUAUCAACGUUCAGGCCGACGGAGAUGCGGCCGAAUUCCAUGGUAGAAGUGUAAGGAGAUUCUUUCUCUCAAUUUAUAACCCUUUUCCUUCGCAAUUGCUCUUGUUUUAAUACAAUGUUGUUGUU